GUUCUCCACAAGAGCAGGAAGAGCUCUGAACUGCUGAGCUGUCACUCUGGCCCAUCCAAGCCCUGUUUGCCUCUCUUUUGAAGAGCUCAUGUUAUCUAAACUGCCUUUGACCUCCUGACCUUCCUGCCUCCAUUUGCCAUGUGCAGCAGUCUGGUUUCUGUGCAGAGGGCCAUCCUACCUUCCCCGUUAGACUCCAUUCUUGAAGCUGUGUUGACUGUGUCUCCAAAGAGGCAGUAUCGGGGCAUCUUUAGCCCUACGACACCAGCACAUACGGGACCUGGGAAGGGAAAAGAAAGGAACAAGAGUCCAGGGAAGUCAGAGGAGCCUCUGGAGGCCUUCCGUGGUCAGACCUGUGUGAAUUCCAAUGCGCAAGCGCAGCUGUUCCUGGGGCCUAUGGCGGAUGCGGAAGGAGCGUACAGCAUCUAGCAGUGCAAGUGCCAUUCGGGCUACCUCUCGGGCAUGGAGCUGUCCAUUCCGCACUGGGAGCCCUGAUACCACCAUCGCCAGGCGGAUCUGUUGAAAGGGUGGCCGCUCCUGGGGAUCCUCUGCCCAGCACCUCUGCAUCAGCUGUCCCAGUUCCUCCAGGUGGCUCUGCAGAUCCAUGGAAGGUCGGAAUGGGGGCUGCUCGCCCCGAGUCACACGCUCAAUGAUCUCUGUGUGGAAGGGGCACG
Molecule: long non-coding RNA, 671 nt
Filed under: Mus caroli (Ryukyu mouse)
Lineage: Eukaryota; Metazoa; Chordata; Mammalia; Rodentia; Muridae
Description: predicted gene 16048 (MGP_CAROLIEiJ_G0003395.1)
Source: RNAcentral